RNAcentral lists this ribosomal RNA (544 nucleotides) under fungal sp. SNB-GTC2903. Its description in RNAcentral is "partial large subunit ribosomal RNA". Lineage: Eukaryota; Fungi. The record is from RNAcentral.
GGUAUGCUACCUGAUCUGAGGUCAACCUUGAGAAGUGGGGGGUUUAACGGCGUGGUUCAACCGCUAUCCUGCCGCGAGAGGUUUAAUUACUGCACGGAGGAGUUCGCGAGGGAACCGCCACUGGAUUUCAGGGCCAGCCGCCGCCAGGGGCAGGCUGAUCCCCAACGCCAGGUCCCGCGAACGGGUCCUGAGGGUUGAAAUGACGCUCAGACAGGCAUGCCCGCCAGAAUACUGGCGGGCGCAAUGUGCGUUCAAAGAUUCGAUGAUUCACUGAAUUCUGCAAUUCACAUUACUUAUCGCAUUUUGCUGCGUUCUUCAUCGAUGCCAGAACCAAGAGAUCCGUUGCUGAAAGUUUUGAUUUAUUUGCUUAUGCCACUCAGAAAUACACUAAAAGACAAGAGUUUGGAGCCUCCGGCGGACGCCUGGGUCCGGGCCGCGCGAACGCGCCCGGGGCGAGGCCGCCGAAGCAACAGUGGUAGGUUCACAAUGGUUUGGGAGUUUUUACACUCGGUAAUGAUCCCUCCGCAGGUUACCCCUACGGAGG